Ornithodoros turicata is the source of this 361-nucleotide long non-coding RNA. RefSeq lists it as uncharacterized. The record is from RefSeq and is a predicted model, not a curated record. The transcript is spliced from 3 exons. NCBI's taxonomy places the organism in Eukaryota, Metazoa, Arthropoda, Arachnida, Ixodida, Argasidae.
AUGUUUUGCUGUGCUGCGGGAUACUUUUCUCUGGUACAAACAUUGCCAAAGCCCUCCGAAUGCUGAAAAUUAUGGGAGUCCCAGCACUCAGGAGGUCCCAGUUCUACAAAACGCAGCAAUGUUAUUUGUUUCCUGCAGUAAACAAUGUAUACGAGACGAAGCAGCAACAACUGCUGGAGGAGCUGCGCCCAGUGCCUUUAACACUUGCUGGUGAUGGGAGGUGUGAUUCUCCGGGUCACACGGCUCUCUAUGGCACGUAUACAUUACUGGAGACCACUGCCAAUCGCAUUGUACAUUUCGAGUUAGUCAAGGUCACAGAGGUGACAAGCAGCAACGCCAUGGAAAAGCAUGGGCUACAAAG